UAUUGCACAAUGGGCGCAAGCCUGAUGCAGCCAUGCCGCGUGUGUGGAGAAGGCCUUCGGGUUGUAAAGCACUUUCAGUCAGGAGGAAAGGUUAGUAGUUAAUACCUGCUAGCUGUGACGUUACUGACAGAAGAAGCACCGGCUAACUCCGUGCCAGCAGCCGCGGUAAUACGGAGGGUGCGAGCGUUAAUCGGAAUUACUGGGCGUAAAGCGUACGCAGGCGGUUUGUUAAGCGAGAUGUGAAAGCCCCGGGCUCAACCUGGGAACUGCAUUUCGAACUGGCAAACUAGAAUGUGAUAGAGGGUGGUAGAAUUUCAGGUGUAGCGGUGAAAUGCGUAGAGAUCUGAAGGAAUACCGAUGGCGAAGGCAGCCACCUGGGUCAACACUGACGCUCAUUACGAAG
This 403-nucleotide ribosomal RNA is filed under the name uncultured bacterium. RNAcentral describes it as "bacterial SSU rRNA". It matches the Rfam family "Bacterial small subunit ribosomal RNA", at positions 362 to 758 of the family's 1533-position model. The record is from RNAcentral.